Molecule: transfer RNA, 69 nt
Filed under: Domecia hispida
Lineage: Eukaryota; Metazoa; Arthropoda; Malacostraca; Decapoda; Domeciidae
Description: tRNA-Gln
Source: RNAcentral
UAUACAUUGGUGUAUAGUGCAUAAUAAAUUUUGAUUUUGAAGGAGGUGGUGUGAGCCCGCCGUGUAUAA